RNAcentral lists this ribosomal RNA (499 nucleotides) under uncultured soil bacterium. Its description in RNAcentral is "bacterial SSU rRNA". It matches the Rfam family "Bacterial small subunit ribosomal RNA", at positions 94 to 631 of the family's 1533-position model. The record is from RNAcentral.
AGCGGCGCAAGGGUGCGCAACACGUGGGUAAUCUGCCAUGAAGUUUGGGAUAACUUGCUGAAAGGCGAGCUAAUACCGGAUGUGACCGGGGCAUCGGAAGUUGCGCUUCAUGAUGAGCCCGCGGCCUAUCAGCUAGUUGGUGAGGUAACGGCCCACCAAGGCCAAGACGGGUAGCUGGUCUGAGAGGACGACCAGCCACACUGGAACUGAGACACGGUCCAGACACCUACGGGUGGCAGCAGUCGAGAAUUUUUCACAAUGGGCGAAAGCCUGAUGGAGCGACGCCGCGUGGGGGAUGAAUGGCUUCGGCCCGUAAACCCCUGUCAUUUGCGACAACUGAUAGUAGCGGAAGAGGAAGGGACGGCUAACUCUGUGCCAGCAGCCGCGGUAAUACAGAGGUCCCAAGCGUUGUUCGGAUUCACUGGGCGUAAAGGGUGCGUAGGUGGCGGGGUAAGUCGGAUGUGAAAUCUCGGAGCUCAACUCCGAAACGGCAUUGGAA